UAAACAACCUGCCAUCAGGAUGGGGACAACAGACGGAAACGACUGCUAAUACCGAAUAAGUUCCAAGGGCCGCAUGGCCCAUGGAAGAAAAGGUGGCCUCUACCUGUAAGCUAUCGCCUGAAGAGGGGUUUGCGUCUGAUUAGCUGGUUGGAGGGGUAACGGCCCACCAAGGCGACGAUCAGUAGCCGGUCUGAGAGGAUGAACGGCCACACUGGAACUGAGACACGGUCCAG
Molecule: ribosomal RNA, 233 nt
Filed under: uncultured bacterium
Lineage: Bacteria
Description: partial 16S ribosomal RNA
Rfam family: Bacterial small subunit ribosomal RNA
Source: RNAcentral